CAGACGAACCGACUAGCUCUCUCAACUCUCAUCUUCUUUCUGUAUCCACAUCGCCGCCCACUCCGUUCGUUCAUGGCCCAUCCUGCACAAACCCAAUCCCGGAUCCAAUCGAUGCGAGAAGCGAGAGGAGGCAGUGCGUGCGCGAUGCAUCCAACCGCUCAGCCCAAUCUCCUUAUCCCCUUCUCUCUCUAAAUCGCAGCGGGACAUGGGAGCAAGGAAUCUGGGAGGAGGCGAGGGUUGAGCGCGUCGCGGGAGCCUUCGCUAGGCCGCCGCCGACGAGCGCGUCAUGGGGGCCUUCGCCAGGGCACGUCCGACGGCGCGAGGUGGCGCUUCGCGAAGCAGGCUCCGCCAGUCCGCCGACGACAAGUGCGAUGAGGCCCGUCGCUGGAGGCUCCGCAAUGACGCCUCCGAGGAGCACCUGGGGGCGCGUCGCGGGGAGCGUGGCGCCAGGCCGCCGUCGAAUCCGGCACCUUGCCGCCAACAAACAUGAGUCGUGAGGAGGAGGCGUGUCACGGGGAGGACUUCGCCACGACGCCGUCUACUCCGCCACAAUGUCGUCGGCAAGCUCGACGAGGAGGCGCAACGCGGGGAGGGUCGCACAAGGCCCCCCUCCACUUCGCCAUGCCGUGAAAAGAGGUCCGUGGAACCCGAUCGCCUCGGCAUAUCCUCCACGAGCUGAGCGCUCCGACCACGGCGCCAUCUCGAUGGCGGCUCUCCUACAGAUCCAGGAGGAAAAGUUCCUUUAUGGAGGCCUUAAGCAGGAGCCACAAGCCUGUGGUGCAUCUUCAAGCGGAGGAUGGAAACGGCCUGCCUGUGGGUGACACGGCCAUGUAUGCACACAUCGCCGUCAAGGAGGAUGAUGUCGCAUUGCUUGAGGAGAUCAUCCGGCGGGGAUGUGACCGCUGCGUGUUGCGGCGAUAGCUGCACAACGUAGUCCAGGAUGACAACAUCCGGAUUAUUAGAGAAGAUUGGUUGCGACAUCUAGCUUAGUCCAAGGAUGAGGGCUGCCAUUGUACUCAGCAGUGGUCAAGGGGCACACCUGAAUUGGCCAUGCUGCACCGAGCUGAAUGCCAUGACCUGGCCAUGAUGGUGAACCAAGUUGUCUGCCUUCCAGAACUGUGGAUUUGGCGUCAAGGAAAUCUCUUGAAGAACAACAUGGUACAUAAUGUGAGCAUCCCAACUGCAUUUGCCAUCCUCAUAUCAGUUUGGCUGGUCUAAUGGAGGAAGAGUCAAGAGUAUGUGUGCUUCUUCACUGGCAGAAUGGUGUAUCAACUGUGUUGAUCUUCUACUUCAUUGAGUGCCUUUUUAGACAUCUGAUAUGUAAAUUAUGGUUCUCCCAUCAUAAGCUUCUGCUAGAGUAAGGAUACAGUUUAUCAGUUCCUACGUAGAAACAAAUUCUGGCCUACCGAUUAUAUAUUUCGUACCAUACAAACAUACUAUACAAAAGAUGGAAGUACAUAAUUCUUUGGCUGAAGAUUGUUCACUGUUUUAUCCUGAAGACCGAGAUAUGGCUUUCAUGAGACUCUUGCCAAUCCUUUGAGGCCUUAUUGAGGUAGUUGACUGCCAACAGUCUGUGGGAUUGAGAAAUUCUAUGGUCCUUAGCCUCUGGUUUGUAUUUUGUAGUAAAUCAUUCGCUCACAGAGUUGGAAGCCAUACUUAGAAUGUAGAUAAAUAAGACAGUUCAUCCAUUUAUAGUAGCAGGUCUUGAGCUCUGUUUUCGGUAUGUUCAUUCUUUUAUCAGCAAAGGUGGGAUAAUCAUCCCAUUUCCUAUGCUUGGCAUCAAAUACAGAAUCUCUGAAAUGCCUCUUUUAACAAACAUUGUUGUUUA
Long non-coding RNA from Lolium perenne, 1828 nucleotides. RefSeq lists it as uncharacterized. NCBI's taxonomy places the organism in Eukaryota, Viridiplantae, Streptophyta, Magnoliopsida, Poales, Poaceae. The record is from RefSeq and is a predicted model, not a curated record.